RNAcentral lists this ribosomal RNA (551 nucleotides) under Nassarius sp. 221 LAG-2016. RNAcentral's name for it is "partial 12S ribosomal RNA". Lineage: Eukaryota; Metazoa; Mollusca; Gastropoda; Neogastropoda; Nassariidae. The record is from RNAcentral.
CGGUUACACCAAGUGAUUAAGUUAUAUUUUUAGGUAAAAAGAUAGUUAGGUUUAUAUUAAGUAAUUUUGGUUUAUUAAACAUUUAUAAAAAAGUAAAAUUUGUAUAUAGAUAGCUAAUUUAAUAAUAACUAAAUAUACUGAAGCUGUGAUAAUCUUGAGGGAAACUGGGAUUAGAUACCCCAUUAUUCUUGAUUGUAAAUAGAAUUAAAUUUACCAGAGUACUAUGAAUAGUUAAAAAUUUAAAACUCAAAGGGCUUGGCGGUGUUUUAGACCAAUCAGGGGAACCUGUCUCGUAAUCGACAAUCCACGUAAUAUCUAACCUUAUUUUGUAAUCAGUUUGUAUACCGUCGUCGUCAGGUAACUUUUAAAAAUAUAGAAGUUAGCAAUUAAAAUUAGUUUGAAUUAAGACGUCAGAUCAAGGUGCAGCCUAUAGUAAGGAGAGGAUGGGUUACAGUUAUAAAAAUUAUAAUUACGGAAAUUUAAAUGGAACUUAUUUUGAAGGAGGACUUGAAAGUAAACUAAAAUACAUAAAUAGUUUGAAUAAGGCUCUG